RNAcentral lists this unclassified non-coding RNA (284 nucleotides) under uncultured fungus. Its description in RNAcentral is "partial contains small subunit ribosomal RNA, internal transcribed spacer 1, and 5.8S ribosomal RNA". The stretch from base 1 to 73 matches the Rfam family "Eukaryotic small subunit ribosomal RNA", at positions 1759 to 1831 of the family's 1831-position model. Lineage: Eukaryota; Fungi. The record is from RNAcentral.
ACAAACUUGGUCAUUUAGAGGAAGUAAAAGUCGUAACAAGGUUUCCGUAGGUGAACCUGCGGAAGGAUCAUUAUUAUAUGAAUGCGCCAACGGCUCUCGGGUCGGCGGCGUACCUCUCACGAGGCCAUCCUUUGUCUAUGAGUACCCUCUUUUCCUCAGCGGGCUUGCUCGCUGCAGGACCUUUUGAAUAAACCUUUUUAUAAUAACUUGUCUGAAGUAAAAAGUAAUUAAUUACAACUUUCAACAAUGGAUCUCUUGGCUCUGGCAUCAAUGAAGAACGCAGC